GAUUAACGCUGGCGGCGCGCCUAACACAUGCAAGUCGAACGAGGUAGCAAUACCUAGUGGCAGACGGGUGAGUAACGCGUGGUCAACCUACCGUUGAGUGGGGGAUAACUAGCCGAAAGGUUAGCUAAUACCGCAUACGUCUCCGAGUGGCAUCACUUGGCGAUAAAAGGAGCAAUCCGCUCGAUGACGGGACCGCGUCCCAUUAGCUAGAUGGUGGGGUAACGGCCUACCANGGCUCCGAUGGGUAGCUGGUUUGAGAGAGCGACCAGCCACACUGGGACUGAGAAACGGCCCAGACUCCUACGGGAGGCAGCAGUGAGGAAUUUUCCGCAAUGGGCGCAAGCCUGACGGAGCGACGCCGCGUGUGGGAAGAAGGCC
Molecule: ribosomal RNA, 378 nt
Filed under: uncultured bacterium
Lineage: Bacteria
Description: bacterial SSU rRNA
Rfam family: Bacterial small subunit ribosomal RNA
Source: RNAcentral